UUAAGUUCAGCGGGUAUUCCUACCUGAUCCGAGGUCAACCUUAGAAAGUAAAAAGGUGGCGACCGGCCCGGGGGGUCCUUGAAACUCGACGCGUGCUCGUGAAAGCUCGUUGCACCGAGGGUCCCUCUGGACGCCGUCAUUGUCUUUGGGACCGGUUGCUCGCACAACGUGGGUCCAACACCAAAACCGGGGUUUUGAGA
Molecule: unclassified non-coding RNA, 200 nt
Filed under: Knufia sp.
Lineage: Eukaryota; Fungi; Ascomycota; Eurotiomycetes; Chaetothyriales; Trichomeriaceae
Description: partial internal transcribed spacer 2
Source: RNAcentral